AGGAGUUCCGGUAGGUGAGGGAGCGCGGACGCCCCGGGGAAGAGGUCGGAGGUCUCCGGAACUAAAGCCGGUGGAGAAAAGGGUCUGGGAUAGGGCCAGAAAUUCUACAUUUCUAACAAGCUUCCAAGGAUGUGGGUGCUGAUGAUCUACAGACCUUACUUUGCUCAGCAGACCAUCAAACAACCAAAGGGUUUUAUGGAGAAAUGACCCAUGAAAAACAAUUCCCUGCUUCUACCAGAACAAACUUGCUGGACGUGGAUGGCCCCAUCUAGAUGGCCGAGAGCUGGAAGUUGCACCCUGUGAUCAUGAAGGAAGUUGCUGUGGUCCGUAAUUCUGUGUUAUAUUAUUGGGUGUUGGAGGAUUUGUAUUCCUUUAAAUAUUUCGUUCUGAGAAUGUAUUGCUUCCUUCAUCAGGAAAACUUGAGGUGGCAUGCAAAAAUACAUGGGCCACAGAUAUUUUAAAAAUAUGAAGAAAUCCGGUCAAAGGGAGAAAAUAUAGGUAGGAAAAAUAAGAGGAGUCCCACAUGGAAAGGGCUGAUGGAUUCCUUUCAAGUAGUGUUUCUGUCCUCCCAGAUGACACCUUGGAAAAUUAGAACAUGUUCAAACAUACAGAGAAGACUAGAGAUUAAUAUCAUGAGGCUCACGGAAUUACCACCCCCUUUGCCAAAUAUGCUUGGGGAAAGUUAUCCCUAAUGCCCUUUGGAUGCAGUUGCAUUUGACAGCUCCUCCCUCUUUCUCCAGGUCCUCCCCCCCCCCCCGCCGCUUCCUGUGCCCACCUUCUCUCCCACCCUCCAGUAAAGAGCCUGAAAUGAGUAUGGUUGUAUUCAGUUUUAUAUUUAGAAGCCCUAAGGAAUUAUACUAAGGAAGCAAGAAGAAGCCAUUUGGUUGGUUGUCAGUGGGUCUUGUUUGAAGGCAACUUGCCCCAGGGAUUCAUUUGCAGAAUUUCUAGCACCCAGGUAUUGGGGGAAAGAAAGUGUUGCAUCCAGAAAAUCUAACCCAGAAGUUUUCUGUUUCUUCCCACCCCUCACCCCCCAACACUUUUAGCACUGAAUUUUCUCCCUAGAUUCUCAGCUUAUCUGCUUUGGGUUUUCCCCUUUCUGGCCCCUAUCCCAACCUUUGAUUUCUAGGCUUUAUUCAGGCUCCACAAGUAAGUAGUGACAUCUCUAUGAUGCUCCCUACAUGGGGAAGUGUGUGUCAGGAUAUCAGGAGGCAGGUAGUUGAUGCCUGGAGGGCCCACUCACUUACCUCCUCAUUUCCCCUGUAAAGUCUCUUCCACUCCUGGGGGGGGGGGGGGUCUCCGGCUGCUGCCGAGAAGCCUUUUGUUGGGUCAGAGGAAACACUCUGCUCACACUGAUGCCAAUAAGCCCCCAGAAUUUUCCACUCCACGAUUAUUUGUCCCUCCCUGACCGUGAAUAAAGGAAAAGCCACACGCAGACACAUGUUAUUAAAAUGAACUGUUUAUAUUAUCUCAGUUGAGUCAAUACAUUAUAAUGUAUUAAAAUGGAAAGGUACAAAAUUGAAAUAAAUACUUUCUGAUUCAUGUAUAAAUCUUUUUUUUUUUGUCAAGAUGACUUUUAUCGUCAGUACAUGUCACAAGAAAACAUUUAAAAUGACACUAAAACAAUCAUUUAAAUCAUGGUGCAUGGAGGAAAAAGGUAAAGAAAACAACUUUUGGCUUGUUUUGGCAUGAGACCUUGAUACAAUUUGGGUUCCCCAAAACCAUGUGAAGGGUGGUAAAAUAGAAAUGCUCAAAACUGACUUAAAAAAAUAAACAGGCUUUACAAAACCCCUCUUUUUGAUAAACCCAGCCACUUCUCUACAUGGUCUGCACUUACAGUAGAUACAUUCAUUAUUGUCCACGGGAAGACAGCAACUGCCUUUCGUUUUAAAGAGCUUGGUGGAGAGGCUGACGAAAUACGGUGCAGCUGAAGGUGAGUAGAAUGUUCAGGAGAACACAAAGUCUAGAUGGUCUUCAGGAAUGGCACUGAGGAUGAUGGGGUGUGGAGGGUCUCUGGAACAAGAGGUGGAGGGGAGGGUGCGUGAGGAGUCCAGAUCUGAAGCAAAGCCAAGUCUGAAGGACAGCCACGGUUGUCAGCAGUGUAAGUGUAGUGUGGGGAAUCUCUCCCCGUCUGAGCAGUUCUGGGUUUGUUCUUAGCCUGGGUACGUUUCUGUUUCAGCAGAGGCUAACCCAGUGCUUUGGAGACGGGGCUGGGACUCUUUUCAGGCACAGCAGCACUGGGGAGACAGGGACAGGUGUAGGGGUUAACAAUGAAUGCCAACAAAGGGGCUUUCUCUUCUGGUUCUGACUGCUUCUGAGGUGGUUGUUAAGGCAAUAAGGACUUUAGCAAACUAGAAGUUAAGGGCAGCUAAAUUCAGCCAGAUUGAAGGUAAACAAAAGGUGAGAAGGACUCCUUUUCUCCUCAGCUACCUUUCCCCCCAAGCACAGGAGGCCUCAGCUCCCGAAGCUCUGAAUUUACAGUACGCAGUAGCGGAGGGCGUGCCCUUUGGAAGGCUCCAUGGAAAAGAAGACUUAUCCCUGACUUGGGGCAUUUUAUUCUCCAGACUCUCUUUCUUGAAGUUCUUUCAGGAGGGCAGGCUAUGCUCACCCAGCUAUUGAGUGAAAAGUGGAAGCACCAAGGUUUGUGCAGUUAGGUUAAGUCCUUGGCUAUAGACUGUCUAUGGCCCAUCUCAAUGGCCUUGAACACCAUAUGUCCUAGAAAGGCAGGCCUGACAUUCACAUGCUUCAGGGAGACCUAUGUUCACCUGGAGAACAGGACUAGCCUUUCAGGGUUCAGGAAUAUUUCCCCUGUGUCUGAUCAAAUGACAGUUACAAAGUCCAUAGAAGUAUGAGAUCCUUGGAAGGUUUGUGAGCCCAUGGGUGGCGGGUUCUUAGGGGAGUAAUAGAAGCUCCUUUGAAGUCACUCACAGAGAGAUGUACAGAAUACUGAACAAAACAGAUGCGAGAAUCUUUUCCUUCUUAUUCUGGAGUAAAGGAGAUGGACCGUGAAAUGCUGUGGGAAGGAUAAACCUUGAGAGCUGCCUGCCGUUCUGAGCAUCUUCUGGCGAGAUGCUGGGUGUUUGGACUACUAAGACCCUGAAAUUCAAGAACUGGCUCUCAAGCAGUUGCUAAAAGGUACAACCACUUACUCCAGCAAAUGAACCACAUGUGGUCUCAGUGAACAACACAGAUAUCCCCUCAUCCUGUAGAAUGAGAUUACAGUCUGAUGCAAGGGCCUGAGGAUGUGAUGUCCUGGACCCAAUGGUUGUGCUCUAAUUACUGAAGG
Long non-coding RNA from Zalophus californianus (California sea lion), 3283 nucleotides. RefSeq lists it as uncharacterized. The record is from RefSeq and is a predicted model, not a curated record. NCBI's taxonomy places the organism in Eukaryota, Metazoa, Chordata, Mammalia, Carnivora, Otariidae. The transcript has 6 exons.